Molecule: long non-coding RNA, 1295 nt
Organism: Cynara cardunculus var. scolymus (artichoke)
Lineage: Eukaryota; Viridiplantae; Streptophyta; Magnoliopsida; Asterales; Asteraceae
Exons: 4
Source: RefSeq, a predicted model, not a curated record
GGCCAUCGGUUAUGGUUUUUCAUUCCUUGGGUUAUCUCCAAUCGCUUGUUGUAGAUUAGUGGUCAAAUACUCUCAAUUGCGAUUCUGAAUUGGGUCGGAUCAAAUUGGAUUUUCGAUCUGCAUCCUGUUCAUUCUUCAGUUGAGUGAUUGGAAAUCAACUUCAAAACCCUUUCUGUGCUCCUGUUUCAUUUUGGAAGAUUGGGAUCGUUGGCAUAGUAGAGAUAAUGGUGGAUGUGAUUUCAGUGGUCUCGUUUUCAAUUAUGAUGUGUAUAGAGCUUUAUCUCAGGGUUUUUGGAAGAAUUUGGAGUGGUGACAAUGAGGGAAAGCUUUGGACCUCUUUCUGAAGAUCGGAUUACAUACAACGCACUGCUGAGAACACCCUUGCCAACAGUAAGGUUGCUUCCAAUCUCAUGUCGGUCAUUAAAGAGGUAGUACUAAUAUCAAUGCUUAAUUGGUAUUAUUAUGCACAUUGCAUUGUAGAUUGUCUUGAAAACAUCACACACUUGGUAUUUCUUAUUGAUUUCAUCUUUCACUCUUCUUCUUCUUCAAACACUUCAUUUGUGCAUAUUUGAUUAUAUAAACAUUAGUUCAUAUACAUCACAUUGCUGGCCAAUAGUUUUGCUAUGCAAUGUUAUGACAUUUGUCGUGAGCAACUCACAGCUCCUCUAUUCAGGAGCCUGUUUUUGUAGAACUAUGUCUUUCUGAAGGGCGAUAUUCCUAAAAUAUAGAACUUUUACAAUGAAAUAUUGGGAAUAAUACCUUAAUAGAAUUGUUAAGCAGCAAACUCAUACCUCAAAAGAUAGGAAUCUUAUAUCAAGUUAAUUUUUCUUGUUUAUGUUGGAUCAAUCUCAAACACUUGGAAGUUGGAAGUCUAAUUGUGAAACUCAACGGGUGGUUCAGCAACAUGUACGGGUAUAAGCCCAAAAUUCUCAAUCUCUGUCCUUCCUCUGUCUCACCAACAUUGAUGGAAAACCAUUUUUACCGCUUUAUUGCGCUGCUAUCUAGUGUCUUGCAUAGCUCACACUUGAAUUUGAGACAAGACAAGCUUAAUGCUACUGGACGCUCUUGGCCUUCACCUGCGUCAUGUGUCGGAAUAUUCAUGCUGGAAUAACCACAGUGAUAUCGAAGCAUAAGAAAUGAGGCAGUCGAAGAUUAAUUUGAGUCUGAAAGGCUUGGAGAAUGGCAUGCUUAAGUGAAACUGUGCACACAAACAACCGUCAUAUGAGGAAAAACCAUUGCCAUGGAAUCUGAUGAACAAAGGCUUGAGCUUGAAGCAGGGUUUUCCAUUUUGGUUG